Molecule: ribosomal RNA, 305 nt
Filed under: uncultured bacterium
Lineage: Bacteria
Description: bacterial SSU rRNA
Rfam family: Bacterial small subunit ribosomal RNA
Source: RNAcentral
UGCACCCUACGGGGGGCAGCAGUGAGGAAUAUUGGUCAAUGGGCGGGAGCCUGAACCAGCCAAGCCGCGUGAAGGAAGAAGGCGCCAAGCGUCGUAAACUUCUUUUGUCGGGGAACAAAGGGCGCCACGUGUGGCGUUGUGAGUGUACCCGAAGAAGAAGCAUCGGCUAACUCCGUGCCAGCAGCCGCGGUAAUACGGAGGAUCCGAGCGUUAUCCGGAUUUAUUGGGUUUAAAGGGAGCGUAGAUGGGUUGUUAAGUCAGUUGUGAAAGUUUGCGGCUCAACCGUAAAUUGCAAUUGAUACUGG